RNAcentral lists this ribosomal RNA (372 nucleotides) under uncultured Desulfobulbus sp. Its description in RNAcentral is "bacterial SSU rRNA". It matches the Rfam family "Bacterial small subunit ribosomal RNA", at positions 1014 to 1382 of the family's 1533-position model. The record is from RNAcentral. Lineage: Bacteria; Pseudomonadati; Thermodesulfobacteriota; Desulfobulbia; Desulfobulbales; Desulfobulbaceae.
UUCCAUCUGGAAGAAAUACUGGAGACAGGUGCUGCAUGGCUGUCGUCAGCUCGUGUCGUGAGAUGUUGGGUUAAGUCCCGCAACGAGCGCAACCCUUGCCUUUAGUUGCCAGCAGUUCGGCUGGGCACUCUAAAGGGACUGCCGGUGUUAAACCGGAGGAAGGUGGGGAUGACGUCAAGUCCUCAUGGCCUUUAUGACCAGGGCUACACACGUACUACAAUGGCCGAUACAAAGGGCAGCGACACUGCGAGGUGAAGCCAAUCCCGUAAAAUCGGUCUCAGUCCGGAUUGGAGUCUGCAACUCGACUCCAUGAAGUUGGAAUCGCUAGUAAUCGUGGAUCAGCAUGCCACGGUGAAUACGUUCCCGGGCCUU